CUACUCCACAACUCGUACAGACUUCACUCUAACAGUGUUUCAACAUUAUAUUGUCUAUAAUUACAAUUCAAAAAAGUAGAUACUCAGCAAUGGCUUCCUCACAAUUGCUUAUGUUGGUUCUGGUCCUCCUGGCUCUGACGUUCACGUCAGCUGGUCUUCGCCGUAGAGUUUGUCGCAUGGACGGCGCUCCCGGAAACUGCGCGGAGGUUGUGGGUCGGCGGGGAGCGCUCAAGGGGGUCGGACUGUGUCAGGAACGUGGCGGCAGAUGUAUCUACUUCGAAAGGCGUGGCGCCAAAAAGUGUGCGUGCAUGGAGGUGAAACCGGACACCGUUAGACUGUUAUAGUGCUGUUCCGGGGCCGCUUCGUCCGGAUUCCUAGUUGCAUUCGAUAAACAGUUCAAAACAACUGUUAAAAAAUAUUGUGUUCAGGAGUAUAAUAUGUUAGGAAUGUUCUCAACAAUGGCAUUUUUAUUAUAUAAUUGAAGUAUUUAUGUAAGUACAAAUGGCAACUAUUAGUUAAAAUACGUGUACCACUAACACGGAAGUAUAAAUAUAGUUUUAACAUAUAUUUAAUAUUUUCCUUUAUUUAUUUGUCGAUAGUCGUAGUAUUAUUGUUCUUUGUUUAUUUUACAUUUGUAGUUGAGAUUAUUUUAUCACUUUUACAUGCAACAACUGAAUGUAUAUGAAAAUGCCUGUCCAAACAUAUACAUAUAUAGUAUACAUUGGUAUAAGAUAUGCUCAGUAUUUAUUCAAUCAUGUUUGUUUCUCUAUUACAUAAUAAAUUGUAAAAUACAA
This is a long non-coding RNA of Mya arenaria, 794 nucleotides long. RefSeq lists it as uncharacterized. The record is from RefSeq and is a predicted model, not a curated record. The transcript is spliced from 2 exons. Lineage: Eukaryota; Metazoa; Mollusca; Bivalvia; Myida; Myidae.